AUGACCUAUUUCACACUUAGCAAGAUUCCUAAAAAGUGGGGUGAGGUAAAUUACAGAAGAGGCCUCUUGGUGGCAGAAUCUUUGAUGGCCAUUAGCCCAUGGCAUACCCCAUGCUAGGGACACACAAGGUUGUGGUCUGAUCUCACUUGGAGACACAGGCUUUCCUAAGAUAUGACAACACCAUAAGUAGAAGAACUGCUCAGUGCCAUCUCUCCAUUGACAUCCCCUCUCAAAACAUGACUUAAUCAUAGAUAGUCAUGAGAUCGGGGUGGAGAUGCAGUGAACUGGAAGACGGAGAAGCUAUGUGCUGUGACCCAUGCCAUUCCCCCAAUGAAUCUAGUCUAAAUUUACAAAUGGCCACAACCAGCCCCUCUGUGUGCACUGCCAAACUCAGAAAUCUUAUAUUCUCCAAAUGAUGCACCAGAUAGGGGCUAUUCAAAGUCAGAAGUUUAUAAUGCUAUGGAAUGAACUAACGAAAACUCAUUUACUGUUUCUGUCUCCAGUUUGACCAGAAAUUUCUAGAAUCUGCAGAAGAAUUGGACAAGUUAAGAAAUGGUAAGAUGAAGUCUCUAAGUACCUCUGAUGUGGGUAUCUAAUAGAAGGCACACAAGGAAUUUUGAACAGCAGGCAAUGCCCAUGUGUGUGUGGGGUGGUAUUUGGGCAAGGUGGAGAGGGAGAAAGUGGUUAAAAUGGAAGGGAUGUGGCUCCUUGAUCAGGUCUGGCAACUCUCUCCAGGCUAAAAGAACUAGACUUCUCAGAGUAUUUGCUAGAGGAACCAUCCCCAGCGCCCUGAGAAUGCCCUAUCCUUAUUUUCAUGCUUUGGGCACCAUGAAUGAGCUGUGUUGAUCAGCUCAGGAUCCCAUACAGGCCUCCCCAUCCAAGGAUACUCAAGGACAUAGAUUAGAUGAAAGGAGGAGAAAUAGAUGUGACCAUUGUCUUGAGUCUUUGUUCUUUCAUGGGGGGUGUGAAAAGGUAAUAUUGUAGCAGUAUUGCAGGCUUUGAAGAGCACAGAAAGGGACCCUUACAUAAAAACCUCUCAGAACCUGCCUUAAAUGUCACAAAUAUGAGGCUUAUUCUGGGAACUUCUCAUUCUAAAUGGCAUUGUGUUGGCAGUCCUGUUGUAACCUAUCCCAACAUCUUCCUGAAGUAUCCAUGAACAUAAAUGAACACAAAAAAAGACAAGAGUUCUACUAUGUAUCUGGAGGAGAAAUAAAUAACAAAAAUGAAACAACAUGAUAAAAAGUAAAAGGAAGCUGAUUAACAAAAAGAAGGACUACAGGAAGCUUUUUAAAAACGCACUUUCAGGUGAAAUCUUACCAGGCAAUAAUUUCUUUUUCAUGUACAAAUUUAGUCAUUUUCACAACCAUUUUUUUCAUCCUGAAAGAGUGGGAUUCAUAGUCAUUUCACUCUCCUUUUUUUUCCUUCUUUGUAAAGAUGGGAGUUUGAUGUUCCAGCUAGUGUCAAUGGUUGAGAUUGACAGGAUGAAGCUGUGCAGACCAGAGCCAUUCUCAACUACAUUGCCAGCAAAUACAACCUUUAUGGGAAAGACACAAAGGAGAGAGCCCUGUAUGGUAUAGUUUCUAUUCUUCCAUCAACAGAUUUAACACAGGAGUGAUUUAGGUCCUUCCUUGAGUGGGUGGGACAUGGUAGGGGCCUUCAGCAUGUACGCUAGGGUCUAGCAUUGCAGAGACUCAUGGAGAUGAGGGAACAGUGAACAUGGGGUGGGCUCAGGCGAGGGGGAGUCUAGAAGAGGAUCCAGUCCAUGGAUCCAGCACCCUGACAGAGGUUUCCAAACACGGAUGAACCAUGAACUCAGGAGGAUGGGGAAUCAUGAUUCCAGGUGCUCAGGCCUUCAGAGGCUGGACUGGAGCCAACAGCUUAGGACAAGGCAUAGAACGUUUGAGAGUCUGUAGGUGAAGGCCUGGGGAGAAAAGGUUACAAAGGAGCUGAAUCUCAGGUUCCAGUAAAUCCAAGAAUGAUGACCAGGGACCUAAGUUACCAGCCAAUUAUAUGGACUGCAACACCUGAGCAGGGCUAGCAGAGGCUGGCACCAAGGAUGCUGGGGUUAUCUUGACACAUGGUUACAAGGCUGAAACAGCCAGAUUGAUUCAAUACCAGCAAAGCCAAAGGGUUUCCUCACUAUUGUGAUAAAACUACAUGAUUCCAAAUAAAUCCUGAAUGGAACUUUUGGCAGCCCCUCCAAAAUUUUCCUGCAGUAUUACCAAUGACCAAGCAAUUCCUCAACUAGAUAUAUUCCCAAAAGAAUAAAAAAUACAACCACACUAAAUAUUGAAGAUAAAUGUACAAUGCAAAUAACAAUAUUCAUAGUAUUCAAAAAGUGGAAACAAGGCAAAUAUCCAUCAAUCAAUAAAUGGAGGGGCAAAAUGUGCUUUAGCCAUGUGAUGGAACGAUAUUGUCAUGAAACAGAAUGAAGUACUGAUGCAUGCUACAAGAUGGUUAAACCAUAAAGACAUGUUACAUAAAAGAAACAAGACACAGAAAGCCACAUAUUAUAGGAUUCUUUUUGUAUGAAACGUCCAGAAUAUGCAAAUCCAUAGAGGCAGAAAGUAGAUUAGUGUUGCCUGGGGCUAAAGGAGUGGGGCUUGGAGUAAAAUGAAGAAUACUGCUGAUGGUACAGAUGUCCUUAUCGGGGUCAUAAAAAAUAUUCUGGAAUUAGAAUGUGAUGAUUUUUGCAGAGUUCUGUGAAUGUGCUAAAAAGCACUGAAUGUGGCUGUAUGUCAAUAAGCUGUUGUUUUAAAAAGUAUUGUGAAACCUGAGUUUGACACAAAAGAAAAAGUUUGCACUGGUUGUAACUGUAUAAAUAAUUUCACCAAGGAAGGGGAUCUUUUAGGUGGAGUCUCAGGUAAGGCACACGUGGCUAGAGUCGGACAACAGCACAUGGAGAGGGCUGUAGAAUUAUGUUUCAUGGGAGUAACUGGAAAAACUGCUAAUAUUGGGCAUAGAAGUGGGCCUGGGAGAUGUAAAAUGAUGAGACAGAACAAGGAACAUGACUGAGAUGGCUGUGCCAGGGACUCUCUUGGGAUUACUUAGGAGGCAGGACUUUGGCAAUUUGACUCACACUAAGUUCACACACAGAACAAACCACAAUAGAGAUGGUCAGUCCUGGCACAGCACCAGUGGGUACUGGCAGUGAUUCCACAAGUUUCUGUCAUGACUGUGACCACCGAUGCUCUUUUUACCUGUAUUAGGUCAUGUGUGUAACAAAAUUUAGAGAUCUAUCUACCUCAAUAGGUUGUUUUAAAAAAAUAAAUGUUAAUAUACCUGUAAAAAUCAGAGCAUAAUGACUAGACUAUGAAAGGCAAUCAUUGGAGGUAAAUUGCUUUGCCACCACCUGAUGCUCUAUCCUCUUAGAUUUUUAAACUAUAAAAUCUAAGGCAAAAGGCAUUAGAAAGUUUGGUUGUUUUUGUCUUUCAGGAUUGAUAUGUAUAUAGAAGGUAUGGCAGAUUUGAAUGAAAUGAUCCUUCUUCUGCCCAUAUGUCAACCUGAGGAAAAAGAUGUCAAACUUGCCUUGAUCGAAGAGAGAAUGAAAAAUUGCUAUUUCCCUACCUUUGAGAAAGUAAGUGAAGUCAUUCAGCGUUUUGGAACACUGCAUUUUGAGGACAAUAGAAAAACAGUGGCUUGGCAUUCCUGGGGCACUGACAAACAAUUGUACCGCUUACACUCAAGCUAUAAUUUUCCAGCAAAGUUUUGUUUUAUUUUUCUUUAUUUUUUAGGAGAUGAUAUCUUCUUCUGUCUCCCAGGCUUCAGUGCAGUGGAUCACUGCAGCCUGGACCUCCUGGGCUUAUGUGAUCCUCCCACCUUAGCCACCUUCUGAGUAGCUAAGAUUACAGGCAUGACCCACUGUGCCUGUUUAAUUUUUAGAAUUUUUUAAGAGAUGAGGUCUCUCAAUGUUGUCCAGGCUGUUAUCACAAAAUUACAAUUCACUAGACUCCAAUAUAAAUUAUUUAUUUAACAAAAUUUCAUGUUCAUAAUUAGAACAUGGGCUGUGAGAGGCUCUGAGCCACAGUAGAAUUUGGUCUACAGUCUUUAGAACAACACUGGAUUUGAUUUAAAAGGAACAUGAUGAAUGGAAUACAUCAGAAAAUAUUCUGGCACCAUGCGUAGGAAGACAUGAGACCAACUGCCCAUUGUUUUGUUAUUGUGGGGUGUUUGUUACUGUGGGGCGUUUCAGGGGUAAAUAUCCAAAAACGGAGGGUGGCAGUGGGAUGGGGAGGAAGAUACUUUUAUGCAUUUCAAAGUUGCAGACAUCAGUGCAGUCCACCCCUAGACACUUCAACUUGCAGAUUAUAACUGUAGGUUAGGAGUCAGAGCCGACGAUGCAAGAAAGAUGAUGAAUUCAAGUUCACCCAGGUUCACUUCAGAUCUCAGAGAGAGCAGGAAAUGAGGAGAGCAGACAAGAAGAAAUGACUCUGAAAUAGUCUACUCCUGGGGGAGGAGUGCUGUCAUGAAGGUGGAGUCACUGCCCAAGAGAGAUUGGAGAGGGACAGUGCAGAGCGUAGAGCCACGUCCUGAACGUCAGGGCUGCAUGCUGUUGAGCCUGGGGCAAACCGAACAUGCAGCAGCAGGUGCCGGACCCCUGGCCCUUGUGGAAAAUGUAAGCUGGGUGGGUGGUGUGGAUGCCACAGUGAUGUGAAAUAAGAAGAGAAAAUGGGAGCCUGGGGUCCAAGUAAGGAAUGAGCAGAGCCCUCGUUCUCACUCUGUCAUUGAAUCAGGGACCAUAAACAAAGUUCAGGAUCUCUGCUACCUCAGGAAGAGCAUUUUGCCUUUUAUCAUGGAAAGGACCCAGGGCCCAGCAUCUCUCCCCAUCCCUCUAUUCCCCUGUGGUUUCUGUUCCUGAGUUCUCUGUGAUGCCCUUUAUCCCAGAUGUGCCCUUGUCUUCCCACACCAAGUAUGUCUGAGCAGGGCUCUUUCCAUCUGGUUUUCUCCCUGGGCUCCAGCUCCUGCUGUCAGACAUUGCGUUUCUCCCUGCACAGCUCUCACAACACACAGCCCCCAACCUUGUAUCCCUCAGUGGGAAAAAGUAGCCCCAUAAUUUGCCUUUAACAUUUCCUAUCUUCAUUUCUGACUCAAUUUUCCUGUAGUUUCACUUCUGCCUAGAGACUGAUCUGUGCUCAUAUCUCACAGGCACAUUCUUUUUUCUUGUCUUAUACAAAAGCCAUGAAUUUACAGGAUUAAUGUGUAAGGAAGUGUGUAGGGAGACUGAAUUGAAUAGUCUUAAAGACAUCUUUGGGGAAAAUGCUAGCGAGCUACAUGUUCUUCCUCUUAUCUUUGCUUCCGGCUGGGUGUCUGUUUCCCUGCCUCUACACUGGUGUUGAUGGAGGGGACUCAGCUGGUCUUUGUGUAGGAGGGACUCAGAUUUCCUGGGUUGUGUUUAUGAUGGUGUCUGCCCUUGGCUUCACUCUGAGGCUACAUUAUCAUGCAUUGCAGGCCCUGAAAACCAGAAUCAGCAACCUCCCCACAGUGAAGAAGUUUCUGCAGCCUGGCAGCCAGAGGAGGCCUCCCGUAGAUGUGAAAGCUUUAGAAGAAGCAAGGAAGACUUUCAAGGUUUGAAAAAGAAGCCAUCGAGGCCAAGCACAUGCAAGACCAAUUUUCUAAAGUUCUGCAACAAUGAAGUGAUUUACCUAAGUGUUGAUUCUGAUUGUUGUGAGACCAAUAAAGUUUUCCAAAGUAUAUGCU
Molecule: RNA transcript, 5697 nt
Organism: Homo sapiens (human)
Lineage: Eukaryota; Metazoa; Chordata; Mammalia; Primates; Hominidae
Gene: GSTA7P
Gene name: glutathione S-transferase alpha 7, pseudogene
Exons: 1
Source: RefSeq, marked provisional